CAUUUCUUCCUAUUCACUCGCGCGCACAGUACAGAGGAGUACAGUGUUAUUUUUUUUCCCGUUUUUUUGUUUUAAUUUUUUUUUUUGUAUAAAAACGACUGCAUUAUAAUGGCCACUUGUAAUUCUGAUCAUACUAGCCAACAUUUGCAAUAUAAUGUUUCCACAAGCUCUCCCCAAUUAAGGCAUGUUAGCACAGGUACGAAGACAGUGUGAAAAAUUACAAUGUGGGCAUACUUUUUCAUGCUGGAAGAGUGCGGAUGUAUGUGUGUCUUCCUUCAUCUAAGAUGACCACCCCUUCCCUUCCUCCCGAAGGAAGAGGCAUUAACCCCAACCUGUCCACCUGCCGAGAGUCUCAGUGCAACAAUCAUGGUAACUGUGUGACUCCUACGGGUGGUGGUACAGAUCUAGCAUGUAACUGUGAUCUGGGCUACAAGGGUGACUCCUGCGAGGACACGAUCAAUGGGGCAUUAAGUGUACCUUUGACCCUGAGCGUGUUUGCUGUCCUCGUUGGCCUGGUGAUCCUGGCCUUCAUCGCUGCCAAGUUCCGGCAGAAACAAAAGAAGAAGCGAAGGAAACUACUGGAAGAAAAAGUCUACAGCAAUACUGCAUAA
RNAcentral lists this long non-coding RNA (611 nucleotides) under Oreochromis niloticus (Nile tilapia). Its description in RNAcentral is "lncRNA (ENSONIG00000030962.1)". The record is from RNAcentral. Lineage: Eukaryota; Metazoa; Chordata; Actinopteri; Cichliformes; Cichlidae.